UUAUCUUAUUUUAACGAAAUUUUCUCGUUUUAGAAUGAAACUCUUAAUGUUAAAUUUUGAGCAAGACAACCCAACAUGGGUCACACCACCUCUUAGUUUUAUAAAGAUAAAUUUUGAUGAGGCAGUGGAUUCGAGGAAGAGAUGUGGAGCUAUUAUUGCCAUGGCAAGAGACCCUUCAGGUUUUGCACCAGGUUGGAGCUGUAGAAGAUUUCUUGGAAUUUUUAUCCUCUCAUUUUAGAGGCCUUACCUUAUGGAGAAGUUGCCUUUCUAGCAAGAGUGCAAUUUUCAUCGUAUUAUUUUGAAACGUGAUUCUUUUUCUGUUAUCAAAACCUUACAAGAAGAUACCUCUUGCAUUUCUAUCAAAAGUUGUGUUCAAAAUACUUUUCGGCUUUCUUCUCCUCUUAUAUUCAAGAUAUUUUUCGGCUUUUUUCUCAUUUUCAUCGAGUGCUCUUCAAUCAUGUCAAUAAAAAA
This 471-nucleotide long non-coding RNA is filed under the name Manihot esculenta (cassava). RNAcentral describes it as "long non-coding RNA (MESC_LNC008113)". Lineage: Eukaryota; Viridiplantae; Streptophyta; Magnoliopsida; Malpighiales; Euphorbiaceae. The record is from RNAcentral.